This 488-nucleotide ribosomal RNA is filed under the name uncultured bacterium. Its description in RNAcentral is "partial 16S ribosomal RNA". It matches the Rfam family "Bacterial small subunit ribosomal RNA", at positions 30 to 507 of the family's 1533-position model. The record is from RNAcentral.
AUUGAACGCUGGCGGCAGGCCUAACACAUGCAAGUCGAACGGUAGCACAGAGAGCUUGCUCUCGGGUGACGAGUGGCGGACGGGUGAGUAAUGUCUGGGAAACUGCCCGAUGGAGGGGGAUAACUACUGGAAACGGUAGCUAAUACCGCAUAACGUCUUCGGACCAAAGUGGGGGACCUUCGGGCCUCACACCAUCGGAUGUGCCCAGAUGGGAUUAGCUAGUAGGUGGGGUAAUGGCUCACCUAGGCGACGAUCCCUAGCUGGUCUGAGAGGAUGACCAGCCACACUGGAACUGAGACACGGUCCAGACUCCUACGGGAGGCAGCAGUGGGGAAUAUUGCACAAUGGGCGCAAGCCUGAUGCAGCCAUGCCGCGUGUAUGAAGAAGGCCUUCGGGUUGUAAAGUACUUUCAGCGGGGAGGAAGGCGAUGAGGUUAAUAACCGCAUCGAUUGACGUUACCCGCAGAAGAAGCACCGGCUAACUCCGUG